UUGGUCCUACGGGAGGCAGCAGUGGGGGAUAUUGCACAAUGGGGGAAACCCUGAUGCAGCGACGCCGCGUGAGUGAAGAAGUAUUUCGGUAUGUAAAGCUCUAUCGGCAGGGAAGAAAAAGCGCGCGAGCGCCCUUGACAGUACCUGACUAAGAAGCCCCGGCUAACUACGUGCCUGCAGCCGCGGUAAUACGUAGGGGGCAAGCGUUAUCCGGAUUUACUGGGUGUAAAGGGAGCGCAGGCGGCAUGGCAAGUCUGAUGUGAAAACCCGGGGCCCAACCCCGGGAGUGCAUUGGAAACUGCCAG
RNAcentral lists this ribosomal RNA (305 nucleotides) under uncultured bacterium. RNAcentral's name for it is "bacterial SSU rRNA". It matches the Rfam family "Bacterial small subunit ribosomal RNA", at positions 333 to 639 of the family's 1533-position model. The record is from RNAcentral.